This 31-nucleotide non-coding RNA is filed under the name Mus musculus (house mouse). Lineage: Eukaryota; Metazoa; Chordata; Mammalia; Rodentia; Muridae. The record is from RNAcentral.
UGCUAUUGGAAAGAGUGACUUUGUGGUCCUG